GAUGAAGAACGUAGCGAAAUGCGAUAAGUAAUGCGAAUUGCAGAAUCCGUGAGUCAUCGAAUCUUUGAACGCAUAUUGCGCCCUUUGGCAUUCCGAAGGGCAUGCCUGUUCGAGCGUCAUUAUCACCCCUCAAGCCCCGGCUUGGUGUUGGGCCCCCGGUGGUCGUACCCGACCACCCGCCUCAAAGAUAGUGACGGCGUCCCAGAGGGAACCGGUACGAGGAGCUUUCACGAGCAUGUACGCGGGGACGACUCUGUGGGCGACGGUCUUUUUUAACCUUAAUAUAUCAAGUGUUGACUUCGGAUCAGGUAGGAAUACCCGCUGAACUUAAGCAUAUCAAUAAGCGGAGGA
RNAcentral lists this unclassified non-coding RNA (351 nucleotides) under soil metagenome. Its description in RNAcentral is "partial contains 5.8S ribosomal RNA, internal transcribed spacer 2, and large subunit ribosomal RNA". The stretch from base 1 to 119 matches the Rfam family "5.8S ribosomal RNA", at positions 35 to 154 of the family's 154-position model. The record is from RNAcentral.